GCCACCCUAGCUCAAUUGGCGGAGCAAUGGUUUUGUAAACCAUAGGUUGUCGGUUCAAAUCCGACGGGUGGCU
RNAcentral lists this transfer RNA (73 nucleotides) under Elusimicrobia bacterium GWA2_38_7. Its description in RNAcentral is "tRNA-Thr". It matches the Rfam family "tRNA". From Rfam's summary of the family: Transfer RNA (tRNA) molecules are approximately 80 nucleotides in length. Their secondary structure includes four short double-helical elements and three loops (D, anti-codon, and T loops). Lineage: Bacteria; Pseudomonadati; Elusimicrobiota. The record is from RNAcentral. RNAcentral also lists the same sequence under 4 other names.